UUGGAUCGUUGCUUCGUGAGAGCAGAUCGCUGAUCAAGAAGGGAGGUCUUAGCCCUAGCCUCGACCUUUCCUCUUCGACGCCGGCUUGGAUCUACUGUCUUGUGUUCUAGCUUCCAUUUCGCACACGUAGGUUGUGCUGUUCUGGUGGUGGACAGCAGCUCGAUCCGGGCAGAGAGGAGGCUCUGUUCCUUUUGAUUGAGUGCUGUGGAUUAGUAUGCAUGGUUGUGAGCUAGAGGUACUAUCUUGUGGAUGUGAUCUUAGGUUCCAACAGCAGCUACCCUAACCGGCAGCUACACCUUUGGUUGUGAUCUAUUGGUGAUCACCUUGGAUUCGAGGAGUCUGAUUUGAGACAGGCGUCUCGACGUUGACUUCGGAUUUGGAUUGUACCUUCUA
Zingiber officinale is the source of this 393-nucleotide long non-coding RNA. RefSeq lists it as uncharacterized. The record is from RefSeq and is a predicted model, not a curated record. NCBI's taxonomy places the organism in Eukaryota, Viridiplantae, Streptophyta, Magnoliopsida, Zingiberales, Zingiberaceae. The transcript has 3 exons.